AUACGGAGGGUGCAAGCGUUAAUCGGAAUUACUGGGCGUAAAGCGUACGUAGGCGGGUCGUUAAGUUAGAUGUGAAAGCCCCGGGCUUAACCUGGGAACUGCAUUUAAAACUGGCGGACUAGAGUUGAGUAGAGGGGAGUGGAAUUUCAGGUGUAGCGGUGAAAUGCGUAGAGAUCUGAAGGAACACCAGUGGCGAAGGCGACUCCCUGGACUCGAACUGACGCUGAGGUACGAAAGCGUGGGUAGCAAACGGGAUUAGAAACCCCAGUAGUCC
This 274-nucleotide ribosomal RNA is filed under the name uncultured bacterium. RNAcentral describes it as "partial 16S ribosomal RNA". It matches the Rfam family "Bacterial small subunit ribosomal RNA", at positions 523 to 796 of the family's 1533-position model. The record is from RNAcentral.